Molecule: long non-coding RNA, 1211 nt
Filed under: Piliocolobus tephrosceles (Ugandan red Colobus)
Lineage: Eukaryota; Metazoa; Chordata; Mammalia; Primates; Cercopithecidae
Description: lncRNA (ENSPTEG00000003539.1)
Source: RNAcentral
UGUGUUUUUGUUUCAUUAGCUUCAAUUAAUAUUUUAUAUUUAUAAGAGCAUAUAUAUAUGCAAACGUGCGUCGAUGGAAUAAGCUUAUGUGUAAGACUUGUUUUCUUUUAAGUUAUCAAAAAAUAUUCUCACAACAGUGUUGUAAUUUUUACUAAUGCUUUAAUUUUAAUAUAGUCAUAUAUAUAUACAUGUAUAUAUAUAUAUAUAUAUAUAUAUAUAUAUAUGUGAUAGUAAAGUUAGGUAUAUAUUUUUAUCAUAGUUAUUAUUAUUAUUAUUAUUAUUAUUACAAUUUGUUUUUUUAAUAUACUUUUUAAUUUGUUAAAAAUUGUUUGUGUCUUAUACACGCAUGCGUAUAUAUGUAUGUACACUAUAGGUAUGUUCAUAAAAUAAGUACACACAUGUACAUAUGUAUAUAUAUACAUAUACCUAGAUGCACGUUACAACAUACAUAUAUAUAAUUUCUUUUUUUUUUUUUUUUUUUUUUUUGUCAAAUUUAAAGUUCAUGUUUUAAAAAAUGGUACCUGAAAGUAAUUUAAGACCCGUUGUCUCAAAUUUGUUCAGAUGUAUAUCAGAGGUAUGUGUUGUUAAUAUAAAAUUGGUCAAUUAAAAAAAAGUGUAUAUGUAUAUCACCGUUUCUCUGUGUAAUUAUUUUAUCAUUUUUAUUUUUUUUUUUUAAAUGUACUACAACAUUUGAUUCAUGUUAAUGACUGAUUAAAAAAUGCAAUAAAUAUUUGUUUAAUGUUCAUGCAUAAGUGAGCAUAUAUAUACACAUAUAUACAUUUGACUACAUGUGCCUUUUAAAUUUAAGGAAAUUGCUAAGGAACAACCAAGAAAUGUAAUUCAUUUUAUGGUUGAUUAUUUAUUUAAAAAUUAUGCAUCGGACUUAAAAGGUUUCGAUAAAGUAUGGAAUGUAGAUAUGGAACUAGAAAAAGAAAAGAAAUUAGUCAUAUUAUUUUUUAAACACCAAAAAUUGACUACUGAAAUCGCAAAGCAUUUUAUGAAUGUUGGAUUUGAUAGUAUUGAUGCUUUGCAAUGCUUAAACGUUCAUAUUUUAGACGACAUAGAAAAUUUUAAUAAAAUUAAGUGGUUACCCGGGCACAAAAUAAGGCUACAAGUUAUAAUUCAAACUUACACAUUUUAUAUACAUUUUUUUUUGUCACUUAUUUUGUUUUGUCACUUAUUUUGUUUUGUCAUUUAUUUUGUUUUGUCAU